GUGCUCACUUGGGCAGCACAUACACAUAAACUGGAAUGAUACAGAGAUUAGCAUUGGCCCCUGCACAAAGAUGACAUGCAAAUUUGUGAGGCAUUCAUAUUUUUG
RNAcentral lists this small nuclear RNA (105 nucleotides) under Neotoma lepida (desert woodrat). The record is from RNAcentral. Lineage: Eukaryota; Metazoa; Chordata; Mammalia; Rodentia; Cricetidae.